GGUUAAGCGACUAAGCGUACACGGUGGAUGCCCUGGCAGUCAGAGGCGAUGAAGGACGUGCUAAUCUGCGAAAAGCGUCGGUAAGGUGAUAUGAACCGUUAUAACCGGCGAUGUCCGAAUGGGGAAACCCAGUGCAAUUCGUUGCACUAUCGUUAACUGAAUACAUAGGUUAACGAGGCGAACCGGGGGAACUGAAACAUCUAAGUACCCCGAGGAAAAGAAAUCAACCGAGAUUCCCCCAGUAGCGGCGAGCGAACGGGGAGCAGCCCAGAGUCUGAAUCAGCUUGUGUGUUAGUGGAACGGUCUGGAAAGUCCGACGGUACAGGGUGAUAGUCCCGUACACCAAAAUGCACAGGUUGUGAACUCGAAGAGUAGGGCGGGACACGUGGUAUCCUGUCUGAAUAUGGGGGGACCAUCCUCCAAGGCUAAAUACUCCUGACUGACCGAUAGUGAACCAGUACCGUGAGGGAAAGGCGAAAAGAACCCCGGCGAGGGGAGUGAAAAAGAACCUGAAACCGUGUACGUACAAGCAGUGGGAGCACCUUCGGGUGUGACUGCGUACCUUUUGUAUAAUGGGUCAGCGACUUAUAUUCUGUAGCAAGGUUAACCGUAUAGGGGAGCCGCAGGGAAACCGAGUCUUAACUGGGCGUUAAGUUGCAGGGUAUAGACCCGAAACCCGGUGAUCUAGCCAUGGGCAGGUUGAAGGUUGGGUAACACUAACUGGAGGACCGAACCGACUAAUGUUGAAAAAUUAGCGGAUGACUUGUGGCUGGGGGUGAAAGGCCAAUCAAACCGGGAGAUAGCUGGUUCUCCCCGAAAGCUAUUUAGGUAGCGCCUCGUGAAUUCAUCUUCGGGGGUAGAGCACUGUUUCGGCUAGGGGGUCAUCCCGACUUACCAACCCGAUGCAAACUACGAAUACCGAAGAAUGUUAUCACGGGAGACACACGGCGGGUGCUAACGUCCGUCGUGAAGAGGGAAACAACCCAGACCGCCAGCUAAGGUCCCAAAGUCAUGGUUAAGUGGGAAACGAUGUGGGAAGGCACAGACAGCCAGGAUGUUGGCUUAGAAGCAGCCAUCAUUUAAAGAAAGCGUAAUAGCUCACUGGUCGAGUCGGCCUGCGCGGAAGAUGUAACGGGGCUAAACCAUGCACCGAAGCUGCGGCAGCGACACUAUGUGUUGUUGGGUAGGGGAGCGUUCUGUAAGCCUGCGAAGGUGUGCUGUGAGGCAUGCUGGAGGUAUCAGAAGUGCGAAUGCUGACAUAAGUAACGAUAAAGCGGGUGAAAAGCCCGCUCGCCGGAAGACCAAGGGUUCCUGUCCAACGUUAAUCGGGGCAGGGUGAGUCGACCCCUAAGGCGAGGCCGAAAGGCGUAGUCGAUGGGAAACAGGUUAAUAUUCCUGUACUUGGUGUUACUGCGAAGGGGGGACGGAGAAGGCUAUGUUAGCCGGGCGACGGUUGUCCCGGUUUAAGCAUGUAGGCUGGUUGUCCAGGCAAAUCCGGAUAAUCAAGGCUGAGGUGUGAUGACGAGGCACUACGGUGCUGAAGUAACAAAUGCCCUGCUUCCAGGAAAAGCCUCUAAGCAUCAGGUAACAUUAAAUCGUACCCCAAACCGACACAGGUGGUCAGGUAGAGAAUACCAAGGCGCUUGAGAGAACUCGGGUGAAGGAACUAGGCAAAAUGGUGCCGUAACUUCGGGAGAAGGCACGCUGGUGUGUAGGUGAAGUCCCUGCGGAUGGAGCUGAGACCAGUCGAAGAUACCAGCUGGCUGCAACUGUUUAUUAAAAACACAGCACUGUGCAAACACGAAAGUGGACGUAUACGGUGUGACGCCUGCCCGGUGCCGGAAGGUUAAUUGAUGGGGUUAUCCGUAAGGAGAAGCUCUUGAUCGAAGCCCCGGUAAACGGCGGCCGUAACUAUAACGGUCCUAAGGUAGCGAAAUUCCUUGUCGGGUAAGUUCCGACCUGCACGAAUGGCGUAAUGAUGGCCAGGCUGUCUCCACCCGAGACUCAGUGAAAUUGAACUCGCUGUGAAGAUGCAGUGUACCCGCGGCAAGACGGAAAGACCCCGUGAACCUUUACUAUAGCUUGACACUGAACAUUGAGCCUUGAUGUGUAGGAUAGGUGGGAGGCUUUGAAGCGUGGACGCCAGUCUGCGUGGAGCCAACCUUGAAAUACCACCCUUUAAUGUUUGAUGUUCUAACGUUGGCCCCUUACCGGGGUUGCGGACAGUGUCUGGUGGGUAGUUUGACUGGGGCGGUCUCCUCCCAAAGCGUAACGGAGGAGCACGAAGGUUAGCUAAUCCUGGUCGGACAUCAGGAGGUUAGUGCAAUGGCAUAAGCUAGCUUGACUGCGAGCGUGACGGCGCGAGCAGGUGCGAAAGCAGGUCAUAGUGAUCCGGUGGUUCUGAAUGGAAGGGCCAUCGCUCAACGGAUAAAAGGUACUCCGGGGAUAACAGGCUGAUACCGCCCAAGAGUUCAUAUCGACGGCGGUGUUUGGCACCUCGAUGUCGGCUCAUCACAUCCUGGGGCUGAAGUAGGUCCCAAGGGUAUGGCUGUUCGCCAUUUAAAGUGGUACGCGAGCUGGGUUUAGAACGUCGUGAGACAGUUCGGUCCCUAUCUGCCGUGGGCGCUGGAGAAUUGAGGGGGGCUGCUCCUAGUACGAGAGGACCGGAGUGGACGCAUCACUGGUGUUCGGGUUGUCAUGCCAAUGGCACUGCCCGGUAGCUAAAUGCGGAAGAGAUAAGUGCUGAAAGCAUCUAAGCACGAAACUUGCCCCGAGAUGAGUUCUCCCUGAGACUUUAAGUCUCCUGAAGGAACGUUAAAGACGAUGACGUUGAUAGGCCGGGUGUGUAAGCGCAGCGAUGCGUUGAGCUAACCGGUACUAAUGAACCGUGAGGCUUAACCUU
Molecule: ribosomal RNA, 2902 nt
Filed under: Klebsiella pneumoniae
Lineage: Bacteria; Pseudomonadati; Pseudomonadota; Gammaproteobacteria; Enterobacterales; Enterobacteriaceae
Also listed under: 1 other name
Description: 23S ribosomal RNA
Rfam family: Bacterial large subunit ribosomal RNA
Source: RNAcentral